Molecule: transfer RNA, 73 nt
Filed under: Nipponacmea sp. JM-2022
Lineage: Eukaryota; Metazoa; Mollusca; Gastropoda; Lottiidae
Description: tRNA-Pro
Rfam family: tRNA
About the family: Transfer RNA (tRNA) molecules are approximately 80 nucleotides in length. Their secondary structure includes four short double-helical elements and three loops (D, anti-codon, and T loops).
Source: RNAcentral
CAGAGUGUAGUUUAAUUAAAGAAAAUUUAAGCUUUGGGAGCUUAGGAACGAGGCUUAACUCCUUGCACUUUGA